GUCAGUAAUCAAGACAGAUAAUAUCUUAAUGCAACUUUAAAGUCAAAACGAAUGCAAAAACAUCCACCAUGAAUAAAGUAUUAAAACCUUAACUCAAGACGAGGUUACUGCCCCUAUUCUAUUUAUGCUUCCUGAGUCACUAACUCUGAUAAAUGCCAAUAUCGAAAGAUAUAUUAUUCUGUAUUCCAUUUCUAAAUUAUGUGUAAAUGCCAAUCUUCUGUGCUUAAGUUAUUCCUUUUAUUUCCAGUAUUUUAUUCUUGUGUUUGGCGUAUGAUGGUGGGAGGGUCCUUUUUACGCUUUUCAUCUUUUGCUACUAGUUGUAUGACAUUCAGCAAGUCACAUAGUCUUUAUUUUUCUCAAUUUCUUCCUCCAUAAGAUGAGAAUGAGUAUCUACCACAUAAGGCUGUUGGAAGGCUCGGUGAAUUGACACCUGUUAAGAACUGAGAGCGACACCUUGCAAAAGUGACUACUUGGAGUAGCAGACAUCAUGGAUCACAGGUGUCCCUAAUCAGGCUGCAAGGAGAUGUUUCUUGGCAUUUCUGAUGUUUCAACCCUACCGCACCUGCGAGGGGGAGGCUCCAGCCAGCCAGGCGGGCAGGAGGCCAUGCUGCUGCCACUCCAGAACCUCAUAAGGGUUUAUUGUCCGCCCACAGCGUAUGUGUCCAGGAAGAACAUUCUGAACCCGUUCCCGUACUCUGGGGGAGUUGGAGGUGUGAUUCGGGCUCCUUGUAGCUCUCAGCCCUGUGGGACAUGCAGAUGGCAAAGCAGGAUAAACGCUAUGAAGACCCGUCCUGACUGUUAGGAAGAAGACAUCCUGCAAUUCAGAUGGAAGGAAUAAUGUGAAGCCACUAAAUGUUAAACAAAUAACUAAAAUAAACCCAGUUGUGGGUUAAGGACCUGAGUAGAUGAUGAUCUGAUUGAGAUAGAGGAAUCCAGGAAAGGAAGGAGAGGGAGAUGCACAGAUGCUCAAAGGUUUGGUUCCUCCCUGUGGAACAUCCAAGAUGGUAAGACACUUGGUUAGCAGCGCUGUGCUGGGGCGUUGAGGGUCUCAAGCUCAGGGAAGAGGGUUGGAACAGAGAUACUUACUUGUGAGAUGUUAGCAUGACUGGAUCCUCGAUUUAGUCAUCUCUGCCAAGUUCCUUUUACCAGGUAAAAAACAUAUUUGCAGGUUCUUUGGAUUAGGAAACAGAGAGUAUCAUGACCAAUGUUUUGCAAAUCAAUUUGAAAUCUUAGAUGGCAUGAGCAGAUUCCUUGAAAAAUACCACUUUCCAGAACUAAAACAAUAAGUACAAAAUCUUUAUAAUUCCAUUUUUAUGGAUGGAAUUGAACCUAUAAUUUGAAACAUUCUCAGUAAGAAAAGUCAAGUCCGGAGGACCGAAUCAUUCAAUCACUAAACACACUGGAGGGAGAGCUGGCACUAACCGUCCAUGAACUCAACCAGAAAAUGGCAAAGGCAGGAACACUUCAGACUCUCUGCACGAGGCCAGCGCAAUCUUAAUAACAGAACUUCACAAAGACAUUGUAAGAUAGGAAAAUGAGAGGCAGAUUGUUCUCAUAAGCAUAGAUACAAAACUCCUAGACAAAAUAUUAACAAACCAAAUCUGUGGCAUAUAAAAAGAAUUAUACAUUACAACCAAGUUGGGUUUAUUCUAUAAAUGUGUGCUAAGAUUUAAAAUUCAAACAAUUGUGAUUUAUUAUAUUACCAUUAAACGUCACAGG
Molecule: long non-coding RNA, 1719 nt
Organism: Macaca mulatta (Rhesus monkey)
Lineage: Eukaryota; Metazoa; Chordata; Mammalia; Primates; Cercopithecidae
Source: Ensembl